This is a long non-coding RNA of Physella acuta, 312 nucleotides long. RefSeq lists it as uncharacterized. The record is from RefSeq and is a predicted model, not a curated record. Lineage: Eukaryota; Metazoa; Mollusca; Gastropoda; Physidae.
CAAAGCCUUUAAGUGUGACUGCACUUAAUUUAACCAAAGUUGUAAACUUACAGUCAUGAAGCUGCUAAUCGUGUCUUUGAUGCUGGUGUUUCUGUGUAUGUCAUGUCAGGGUGUGUCACUCACAGUGAAGCCGUUAUGUAGCACCUGUGCUAUCGGUGACCAGGUGUGUCUGUCACAGUGCCAGACUGGACUGUUCCCUCUGGUCAGGAGGAACUGCUUCUGUGGUAUCAGUGACCCCACGUCAUUAGAGUGUCUGUCUGGAAACCCAUGUGAGGGGGUGGGCAAAUAAAUAAACAAUACGUUUUAAAGCUU